Molecule: long non-coding RNA, 835 nt
Organism: Carassius gibelio (silver crucian carp)
Lineage: Eukaryota; Metazoa; Chordata; Actinopteri; Cypriniformes; Cyprinidae
Exons: 5
Source: RefSeq, a predicted model, not a curated record
ACCACAAGUGUGUGUCGAACUUUUCAUGACCUGAUGACUGUGUUUCCCAAUCCUGAUCCUGGAGAACCCCAGCACUGCACGGUUUUGGUGUCUCUCUUAUCUGCCUUGGAGUCUUCACUGAUGAGCUGAUGAGUUGAAUCAGGUCUAAAAUAUCAAGCUCAACAACUCACUCAAGAGCCAACCCUCACAAACCUUCCUAAAAACUAAGAGCUAUUACUGAGUCUCAGCGAAUCUUGCCAUGAUCAGCUCUUCCCAGAAGAGAAGGAAGACCAAGGAAAUGAUUUGCUCAGGAUGAGGAAUGAAGAUGGCCAUCUUGUGCUCAAACAAACAGAAGUCCUCUGAUGAUCUCAUCAGCCAAAUGAGGGGUUUUGACCAAAUGAUGCUCUUGAAAGGAGUGAAAGAAGAGGAUGUGCUAAAUUCUCUUCAGAGAAAAAGCUUCUCAAAAGGUCUCAAAACAGCUUGAAGAAUGGUCUGGGAUCUUAGGACUGAGAGAUCCUCUGGCUGAGAACAAGCACAUCAGUGCUGGAUAUCAACCACAAACUGUUUCCAGGCACGAGAGAAGAAGAACACGAUGGGGAGAUGAAACCAGUUCAGAUGUGAUGAUGGGAAUCAUUAUUUUCUGGAACAGUAUCUCAUGUCUUAUAUGUAUCACAUGAUCUGUAUCACAGUUGACUGGAUGGGACUCUGUGACUUUUAAGGACAUUUCAUCACUCAUCUGUGUGAACUGAUUAAUAUAUGAGGUUAAUGUAUUUUUGAUGAUAAUUAUUUUCAUUGAAUCUUAUUCGUCUUGAUGCUACUUUAUCAACUUUAUAGUCUAUGCUUCAAUAAAAUGAAA